CACUAAGACAUUUUACUUCCACCUGUAAUAAUAUUAAGGCUUUACUUCUUCAACAUUAAUUUGAUGCAUACCUUUCUUUUUUCCCCCACAUUAAAAAACGUCAAUAAGUGUGAGCCAAUGUUUCAGUAGAUUUCAUCACUCUUUCUCUUCAAACUUUGUCUUUCUAUCCAGGUCUGUCUUGUCUGCCUGAAUUGUAACUGUGAAUAUUUUCCCAUGUUCACCUAUUGGGCUUUCAUUCUUCUUGAUAUCUAAUUCCUCCUUCAGAUAACUCAUCCAUUUUCAUGGCUUCAGCUAUGCCUUUACUUGAAUGAUUUCCAAAAUUCUAUCGCCAAUCCUUUCCCCUCAUCUAAGCACCAGUCAUUUAUUUUCAACUCUUCACUGGACAUUUCUACUUUGAUGAUUUGCCCCCUUUUCAAAAUAAACAAGCUGAAUUCUCCACCCCUCGAUCGCCUCCCACUCCUGAUUUCGUUUUUGUUUUCAAGAAUAGAAACCUGUUUCCGAAUAUUUAUUUGGAAAUAAAUAUUAUCCAUACUUGAAACUUUGGGCCAAGGCACAAGAAUGGCAAUGCAAAGACGUACAAAAAACUGGAGUUAACAUACAGAAGUGCAGUGAGCCAGGCUCAGCUGUAUGGACUUGGGGCCUUGGCCCUGUUUUACUCAGCGCCACCUAAUGGUCACCAUUUAGAAAGGCAGGCCUACUUUUGCCAGAUGCAAUUUUGCAAAGGAAAAUGUAAAUGUCAAUUUUAUAGUGAAAUUUAUCAAUAUGUUUAAACGUUGUCACUGUUAAACAAAAUGCAGCACUCUGGAAGCAAUAUGAAGUUUAUAUAUGAAAAAAUUGCCAUGGUUCUAAGAAGAAAAUAGAGAAAAAGAGAAUCUCAGUAACUAUACAGGAAUCAAAGGAUUUAGUAAAAUGGAAAUGCAUCGGCAGGAAAUCAUAAAUUUGUUAUUUUUUUAAAAUACAGUCAUGUGCCAAUAGGAUUACAUUCUAAGGAAUGCAUAAUUAGGCAAUUUCUUCAUUGUGUGAACAUCAUAGAGUGGAAUUACACAAACAUAGAUGGUAUAGUCUACCACAUACCUAGGUGAUAUGAUGGAACCUAUUGUUUCUAAACCACGAACUUAUACGGCAUGUUACGGCAUUGAUCUUAUGGGAUCACCCUUAGUAUAUGGACUGUUGUUGGCCAAAACAUUGUUAUGUGGCACAUGGCUAUAUAUAGCCAGCUUCACCUGAAGGGCAAAAUCCCUAAGAUCUUGACACACAUACUGAUAAAUACAUGGAAUUAUUAAAGGUGCCAUCUCAGCAGAAGAGGAUUGCUGCUGCCUUUGUUCUCGGGGGAAUACAUAUUUCACCCAGUAGCAAGACACCCAACUGCUGCUACAAUCAGAAAUCUCUGAAAUGCCUUUAAGCUAAUCAUCUUUGAACAUAAGCCUUUGUUGUUGAAUCAGGGACCUUCUAGAUGCAAGGCACAGAAACCUUUUUUUAUUAUUUUGUUUUUUCUCCACCUUGCACAAAACAGCAUCAAGCCUGUCACCACCGACAGUAAGGUUCAGUGAUCUGUCAACAUUCACCCCUGAUGAAGACAGUGAGAGAAAUCCAUAGCUCUGGAGAGUUCAGGAGAGAACCAAACAGUGUGUUUGCAAAAGAGCAUUUUUAUAUGUUUUCUUGUGACAGCACUAGUUUAACAGAAAAUAGUUGGAGUGUGCCAAAAAGGGGGAAAAAUGAAAGACAGUAGUAACACACUCAGGCACAUACAUUUGUGUGUGUUCUAAUGCUUGCUAAGUGUUAUGCCAUAAAAGCAAAGCAUAUAUGAUUGUUCAAAAUCAAAUGUUAUAGUUUUUUCUCUAAUUCUAAAGUACUUCAGUGUAUUACCAGGUGGGUUCUCUUCAGAGAACCCCAACAGCAGGCCAGGAGGCAGUGUGCUGGUAGAUGCCAGGCAAUCCAGACAGGAUCCCAUUAUCUUCCUCUCUUGCCACUUUUGUUAAAACCUGAGGAUAGAUUAAACUGACUUUGGUGUCUUAAACCACAUCAAUGUGUCAAAGAUGUCAGGCUUUGUUAAUGAUGCACAAUUUACUAAGCACCUGAUGAAAAGCAGAGACUAAAAGUUUCUUAGUUUGAAAGUUCUAUAGUUAAGGCAGAGACAACAGCAAAAUCAAGGAUAAAUAUUUGAAUUACUCUAAGUCCAUUUGACAAAAAUAAAGUUCUGGAAAUGUAACUCAAUGACUUGAAAGCCCCUGUUCUUUUCCCUAUGAUUACUUACCUUGUCCAAGUCAUGUGGGCUCAGAAGAGGGAAAAACUUAAAACAUGGUCUCUCAUCUCAAGGAAGUUAGAUUCUGUUGAGGAGAAGAGACCCUAAAAUGGUAGGAAAGAACAGUCAAGAUUAAAGGACAAAUAAAAGGCAGACAAUAGGAUUUCAGAAAAGGCUGUAAUCACCACACAUAAAUUACCAAGAAAGGUUUCAUCAAGGAUGUUCUUCUUUAGCUGGUCCUUAAUAAAUGGGUAGGAUUUCAUGAAUAGAGAGCAGCCCACAGUGCAAAUGUCAUCUUGAUAACUCUCUGCUGGGUGGCUCCUUAGACCCUGUCAUCCUGAUCUUUUGCCUGUUGUCUGGUCAUGGUUUCUUCCUUGUUCUCCUUUACCCCCUUUGUGUGGAAAAACAUUUUAGUCUUUAGCAGCAAAUCAAAGCCAUUUUCAGGUGACACUGGUGAUCUUCUCUCUUACAGGCUACUAGAAUCACUUUCUAAUCCCUGGCUUGUCCAUUUAACUUUUUAAAGCAGAUUGGGCUGAAAGUAUGAAUUAAAGACUUAAAUGGUCUCACGAAGUUGCUAUGAAGUCAAUAUUCAGCAGCAUCACUGGCUUCUGCCAACUAGAUGUUAGUGGAAUCUCAAGUUGUAACAACCAAAAAUAUCUCCAAACAUUUAGACCCCAUUUGAGAAACACAGACAUAUAUGAACUUGCUACAGACACCUGUUUGGGGUAAUAUUCCACAGCUAAUUAUUACAUGAGAAAUUCAGUUUCCAACAAAAGAGUUUCUGUGUGAAAUUGCCAUUGUAGUUAACAAAUUAAUAUCAACUAUAUACAAAUACAUUUCUGAUGUCUUAAUUUAAAUACAGCUAAUAUACUACUCAUCUAUAACUAAAGAAUGGUAUAUAAAAACUAAGACUGCCCUCUUAGUGUUUGAAUUCUGUCUGUCACACUUUACACCAUGGUUGCACUGAUCAAGUCAGAAUGUUCUUCCCAGUAGCAGUAAUUUACUGUAAUACUGUAUUUUAAAUGGCAGGAAAAGAGUAUAGAAUUUUCAAGUGGCUGGAAAAAUUCCUAACUGUAUGUUAAAAAUGACUCAGGAGAGUUAAAAAAGAAAAAUACUGACAAGAUGAGAGAGAAAAAAAGAAAAACUUAGCUUGGGUAGCAUAAUAUGGAAGACAGAACAAUAAAUAAACAGGAAGUCCACUGCACUACCGAGUUUUUGAAGUAUGACGGACUUACAUGAAGUCCCAUGAAGACUGUUGAUUUGUUUGCUAAGAGAAAAGCAAGUAAACGAUGCCAGAUAUUUUAUGGAUAGAAAAUUAAAUACCCG
This 3568-nucleotide long non-coding RNA is filed under the name Homo sapiens (human). RNAcentral's name for it is "HSALNT0306139". Lineage: Eukaryota; Metazoa; Chordata; Mammalia; Primates; Hominidae. The record is from RNAcentral.